UACGGGGGGGGCAAGCGUUGUUCGGAAUUACUGGGCGUAAAGGGCUUGUAGGUGGCCAACUAAGUCAGACGUGAAAUCCCUCGGCUUAACCGGGGAACUGCGUCUGAUACUGGAUGGCUUGAGUUUGGGAGAGGGAUGCGGAAUUCCAGGUGUAGCGGUGAAAUGCGUAGAUAUCUGGAGGAACACCGGUGGCGAAGGCGGCAUCCUGGACCAAGACUGACACUGAAAAGCGAAAGCCAGGGGAGCAAACGGG
This 253-nucleotide ribosomal RNA is filed under the name uncultured bacterium. RNAcentral's name for it is "partial 16S ribosomal RNA". It matches the Rfam family "Bacterial small subunit ribosomal RNA", at positions 524 to 776 of the family's 1533-position model. The record is from RNAcentral.